Long non-coding RNA from Triticum aestivum (bread wheat), 1079 nucleotides. RefSeq lists it as uncharacterized. NCBI's taxonomy places the organism in Eukaryota, Viridiplantae, Streptophyta, Magnoliopsida, Poales, Poaceae. The record is from RefSeq and is a predicted model, not a curated record. The transcript has 2 exons.
CAUGAUGUUUUGCACGUUCUCUUUCCUUGUUCUUCUUGUGGCUUUUUCUUCAUCUCAUCAUUGACCAGUGCAUUGUUUAUGUGUGUAUAUCUAUUCUCUCCUUUUUUUUAUUCUCAUGAACUAAUGUGUGUACAGCUUAUUCUUCUCUCUAGAAUUCAUGGAUGAGUUAAUGGUCUUGGUUAUAUGGUUUAUUCAAUCCACCUAAAGGAACAAAGUUUACACCCUUUGACUGGUUUUAUUGGAAAAUCUUACACAAAAAUAUGAUGUGAUCCCUCUGCUUCCACAUGACUGUUGUUGGUCCAGGUACCGUAUUGUUUCAUGUCCUUUGUUAUAGUUUGUAGCUUAGAUUUGUAAGACUGGGCACUAUAGUGUUGUCUGUUAUGGCUGAUUGAUGUUGUUGGCGACCUUGAGAUCAGAUUAAUUCCUGCAGUCAAUAGCUCCAGUGCAGAGUAUAUGUGCAAUGAAGUAAUGUAGCGAGCACUGUUUGGUGGAGGAGAAUUUCUCUUGAAUUUUGUACAACAUUCAAAUUAUCAUCCAGAAAAUGUGUAUGUUGUCUCUCAAUAGGUACAUAUGCAAAUUUAUCUUUUUGUUGGUUGUUUGUUGCUUCUUGCUUCUUGCAGCAUCCCGACUACAUAUGUGAGGCUAUGGGAGUCCUUUUUUCGUGUAAUGAUGAGAGGAAUAUGACAAGACAACCAAUUGUACCAUGUGAACACAAUCGCUGGGACAAGCUGGUCAAGACAGGAAAAUCUAAAAGAAUGCGACUAAAAUCAAUAUUUGAAGGUACAACCUGUAUUAUGUUACUGCAGAAAUUAAUAUUGUGGUUUGUUAUUGGGAAUCAUGAGUUUCCUGGCAAUGAGACCCAUUAGUUAGAAUCUAUUGUGCUGGGAUCUUUGCUUCACAUCCCAUAUGUGCCAAGUUACUGGUAGAACUGUGUAUCGAAUUUAUUGUGCUGGAAUUUAUUGUGCUUUGGCACACACUCACUUAUAAUCAGGGCUCGCUUAAUUUUAUCUUUCUAAUUCUUUUGAGAAAUACCAUAUCAAUAUUAUUUGUGAUGACUUGUUAGUCAUAAUUUCCAGUCA